Molecule: ribosomal RNA, 301 nt
Filed under: uncultured bacterium
Lineage: Bacteria
Description: partial 16S ribosomal RNA
Rfam family: Bacterial small subunit ribosomal RNA
Source: RNAcentral
CAGUAGCCACGGUAAUACGUAGGUCCCGAGCGUUGUCCGGAUUUAUUGGGCGUAAAGCGAGCGCAGGCGGUUAGAUAAGUCUGAAGUUAAAGGCUGUGGCUUAACCAUAGUACGCUUUGGAAACUGUUUAACUUGAGUGCAAGAGGGGAGAGUGGAAUUCCAUGUGUAGCGGUGAAAUGCGUAGAUAUAUGGAGGAACACCGGUGGCGAAAGCGGCCCUCUGGCUUGUAACUGACGCUGAGGCUCGAAAGCGUGGGGAGCAAACAGGAUUAGAUACCCCGGUAGUCCCUGUCUCUUAUACA